GUCGGUCUGCCCGUGCAGCGACGAUUAUGCAUGCGUUCCUCUUCAGAUCUAGGCACAAGUGCCAUCUAGCCUUGGCCGAAACUCGGAUUUCCUGUGUUGCAUACCUACUCGAUGGAAUUUUCUUGUCGGAUAUCCAAUGGUCGCCUAAUGCCACCCUCGUCGGUGUUUGCGGGUGAUCCACGAAGCGAAAUUUGCGAUCCUCGAUGCAUAGUACUCGUACUCGUUGCUAUCGAGGCCCGCACUUCUUCGCUCGGACUGAGGGAUUCGGAACAUGCGGUGGGCAUUGGGUCUCUUGUAGACCCUUUUUUGCCACAAAAAUCGAAAUAUCAUCCGAACGACGUUCGACGGUGCGCUGUCAUUUGUUGCCACGCAUCUCGAUGUCUGCGAGGAAUGCUACCU
RNAcentral lists this unclassified non-coding RNA (399 nucleotides) under Galium japonicum. RNAcentral describes it as "partial external transcribed spacer". The record is from RNAcentral. Lineage: Eukaryota; Viridiplantae; Streptophyta; Magnoliopsida; Gentianales; Rubiaceae.